RNAcentral lists this long non-coding RNA (567 nucleotides) under Medicago truncatula (barrel medic). RNAcentral's name for it is "long non-coding RNA (MTRU_LNC002035)". Lineage: Eukaryota; Viridiplantae; Streptophyta; Magnoliopsida; Fabales; Fabaceae. The record is from RNAcentral.
GGUGGUGGUUGUGGCUUUGGAACUGGAGGAGGUUUGUAUACUGGAGCAGGUGGUAGAACUGGAUGUUCAACCUUUGGUGGUGGACAUGGUUUCUUGACUGGAACAGGAGGAGGAAGAGGUUUAUGAUAUACAGGCGUAGGUGGAGGGAGAGGUUUAUGAUAAACAGGCACAGGUGGAGGAAGAGGUUUCUCAUACACAGGUGUAGGUGGAGGGAGAGGUUUAUGGUAAACAGGCACAGGCGGAGGAAGAGGUUUCUCGUAGACAGGUGUAGGUGGAGGAAGAGGUUUCUCAUAAACAGGUGUAGGAGGAGGGAUAGGUUUUUCAUAGAUAGGCACAGGUGGAGGACAAGGUUUCUUGUAGAUAGGAAUAUGAGGAAAGGGAGGUUUGUAAAUAGGAAUAUGAGAAAAUGGAGGUUUCUUGUAGAUAGGAACAGGAGGAAAAAGAGGGUGUUUAUGGAAAAUCUUUGGUGGAAAUGUUGGAAAAACUUUAGGGGGAAAUUGAGGUAAAUCAGGAUGAGGAAGCUUAGGAAAAAGAGGAUGUUUGAAGAGAGGCCAAAAGAAUUUGGAG